This 500-nucleotide ribosomal RNA is filed under the name uncultured bacterium. RNAcentral describes it as "partial 16S ribosomal RNA". It matches the Rfam family "Bacterial small subunit ribosomal RNA", at positions 30 to 523 of the family's 1533-position model. The record is from RNAcentral.
AUUGAACGCUGGCGGAAUGCUUUACACAUGCAAGUCGAACGGCAGCACGGGGGCAACCCUGGUGGCGAGUGGCGAACGGGUGAGUAAUACAUCGGAACGUGCCCAGUCGUGGGGGAUAACGUAGCGAAAGUUACGCUAAUACCGCAUACGAUCUAUGGAUGAAAGCGGGGGACCGUAAGGCCUCGCGCGAUUGGAGCGGCCGAUGUCAGAUUAGGUAGUUGGUGGGGUAAAGGCCUACCAAGCCGACGAUCUGUAGCUGGUCUGAGAGGACGACCAGCCACACUGGGGCUGAGACACGGCCCAGACUCCUACGGGAGGCAGCAGUGGGGAAUUUUGGACAAUGGGCGCAAGCCUGAUCCAGCCAUUCCGCGUGCAGGACGAAGGCCUUCGGGUUGUAAACUGCUUUUGUACGGAACGAAAAAGCUCUUGUUAAUACCAGGAGUCCAUGACGGUACCGUAAGAAUAAGCACCGGCUAACUACGUGCCAGCCGCCGCGGUAA